GACGAACGCUGGCGGCGUGCUUAACACAUGCAAGUCGAACGGAAAGGCGCUGCUUUUGUGGGGUGCUCGAUUGGCGAACGGGUGAGUAACACGUGAGUAACCUGCCCUUGACUUUGGGAUAACUUCAGGAAACUGGGGCUAAUACCGGAUAGGAGCUCCUGCUGCGUGUUGUGGGUUGGAGAGUGUCGGCGGUACGGGAUGGAUUGGCGGCUUAUGCGCUGGUUGGUGGGGUAGUGGCAUACCAAGGCUUUGACGGGUAGCCGGCCUGAGAGGGUGACCGGCGACAUGGGGACUGAGAGACGCACCAGACUCGUACGGGAGGCAGCAGUGGGGAAUCUUGCACAAUGGGCGGAAGCCAGUUGCAGCAACGCCGCGUGCGGGAUGACGGCUUUCGGGGUGUAAACCGAUGUCGCAUGUGACGAAGCGUGAGUGACGGUAAUGGGUAAAGAAGCACCGGCUAACUACGUG
Molecule: ribosomal RNA, 468 nt
Filed under: uncultured bacterium
Lineage: Bacteria
Description: partial 16S ribosomal RNA
Rfam family: Bacterial small subunit ribosomal RNA
Source: RNAcentral